Molecule: ribosomal RNA, 301 nt
Filed under: uncultured bacterium
Lineage: Bacteria
Description: partial 16S ribosomal RNA
Rfam family: Bacterial small subunit ribosomal RNA
Source: RNAcentral
CAGUCGCCGCGGUAAUACGAAGGGUGCAAGCGUUACUCGGAAUUACUGGGCGUAAAGCGUGCGUAGGUGGUGGUUUAAGUCCGCUGUGAAAGCCCUGGGCUCAACCUGGGAAUUGCAGUGGAUACUGGAUCACUAGAGUGUGGUAGAGGAUAGUGGAAUUUCCGGUGUAGCAGUGAAAUGCGUGGAGAUCGGAAGGAACAUCUGUGGCGAAGGCGACUAUCUGGGCCAACACUGACACUGAGGCACGAAAGCGUGGGGAGCAAACAGGAUUAGAUACCCCUGUAGUCCCUGUCUCUUAUAC